RNAcentral lists this long non-coding RNA (254 nucleotides) under Gossypium raimondii (Peruvian cotton). RNAcentral describes it as "long non-coding RNA (GRAI_LNC008370)". The record is from RNAcentral. Lineage: Eukaryota; Viridiplantae; Streptophyta; Magnoliopsida; Malvales; Malvaceae.
UGGUUCUAUCUCUUUCAUCUAUUAUUCGAGGAAUAUCAGCAUCCCUUCCUUCUUGAUGUAAUGGUUCUAUCUCCUUUUUCUCAAGGUUCUCUUAAUUUCUGGAUCAAAAGAAUACUCUUCAAUUGCAAAAUAUCUCUAUUCAUUCACCAACCCAAAAUCCUAAAAACCAAAAAAAAAAAUCAAGCAACUAAUUAAGCUAAACUACUAAAAUUAAAGAGAUAAUAACAUACCAAAUUUUUUUCACCAAAAUUGUG